CGCAGGGUGGAGCAGUCUGGUAGCUCGUCAGGCUCAUAACCUGAAGGUCCCCGGUUCAAAUCCGGGCCCUGCACCCA
RNAcentral lists this transfer RNA (77 nucleotides) under Puniceicoccales bacterium. Its description in RNAcentral is "tRNA-Met". It matches the Rfam family "tRNA". From Rfam's summary of the family: Transfer RNA (tRNA) molecules are approximately 80 nucleotides in length. Their secondary structure includes four short double-helical elements and three loops (D, anti-codon, and T loops). Further hydrogen bonds mediate the characteristic L-shaped molecular structure. tRNAs have two regions of fundamental functional importance: the anti-codon, which is responsible for specific mRNA codon recognition, and the 3' end, to which the tRNAs corresponding amino acid is attached (by aminoacyl-tRNA synthetases). tRNAs cope with the degeneracy of the genetic code in two manners: having more than one tRNA (with a specific anti-codon) for a particular amino acid; and 'wobble' base-pairing, i.e. permitting non-standard base-pairing at the 3rd anti-codon position. The record is from RNAcentral. Lineage: Bacteria; Pseudomonadati; Verrucomicrobiota; Opitutia; Puniceicoccales.